Danionella cerebrum is the source of this 70-nucleotide non-coding RNA. Lineage: Eukaryota; Metazoa; Chordata; Actinopteri; Cypriniformes; Danionidae. The record is from the annotation of a GenBank genome assembly.
GCAGCUGUGGCCUAGUGAAUAAGGCGAUUGACUGGAGAUCAAAAGGUUGCCGGUUCGAUACCUAACUCCA